GUACAUAAUUGCAUUGAGUAACAGAGUAUCGUAUAAAUUCCUAUUUUCUGCAUUAAAUCAACACAAGCCAAUGUACAGAUCAUGCUUUGGAUUUCAGGUUUUAUUGCCAUUCAUUAACAUUAUACCUUUGCGUGGUCAUUGAAACGGAAGUCAUCGUCUCUCCAAUAAUGCUAAAUGGCAUUGCAAAACUGGUCGCAUGUGAUACAAGCGCCUAAUUGAUCAAGUUUGGAUGUAGUUCCAUGGAUUUUAUGACACUACCGGCAAGGCACCUUCCGUGGUCAUUGGAAAUCAGCAAGGUUUCCUUUCAGACGUAAACCUUUGUAUCUUUCCGCUUGAACAAUGACGUCCUGAAAACAUGAAGACAAGAAAUAUCUGUCUAUUUCAAGAGAAGCUAAAUGACAGUAAUUGGACGCGAAUGUCAAAGACAGGAGAACACGCGAGCUGAGAACGAGGCGCCCUCCGGAACAGAAGGCUUUACAAGUUAACCUCUUCAAAUUCCCCCCAAAAAAGGAUUCUUAACCUAACAAGUGGGCGACAAUAGCACAGCUGUUUGACGUUACCUGUCAUAAGGACGUCGUUUUUAAGCCUUUCAAUUGGACGAGAAUAAAGAACCCACGGACAAUUUUGGUAUAAAAACAUCAAUUAUUUCCGACCUUAUCAGUACGUCCGAAGUGACCCUGAGGAUGAUAAAAAAAUUUCCAUAUCUUCAAAGUAACCGGCCGAAUCCAAAGGGAAAUAAAGUGGCAAGAAGUAUUUUCGCCUGAAGCUGUAGGCUGUUCGAACCUAGAUGCCUACUGGAUGAAUGGCGUGACUGUCCAGACUUGCAACAUAACGGACACGCCAGUAACCGUGCCAGAACAUGUGCCAGUUACUAUACUUGUACUAUCAGAUUUACUCGAGGAUUCCUGCGUUUGCAGAUUACAACGAUAAGAUUAUAUACAUUAUAUAUAAAGAGUUUAUUACGGAAGACGAUAUUGGAUUAAUUUCUGGAAAGAUAUAUGAAAACACACGAACUCCGCUAUGUAAUAUUGAGCACGUCGAUGUGUGGGCAUUCUUCAAACUGAUAAACAAAUCUUUUUUACAAAGAUGGUGCAGUCUCAUAAAAAUAAUGAAAAAGGUCAUCAAGAAAUUAUUUCUAUUACGAGUGUCUGGCAUACUGUUACAAAAUUGAUACUCGGCUUUUUGUAAAGUAACGGUCUUGUUCUGCUUACUUUGUCAACGCAGUUGUUGGAUAAGAUAUCGAUACCUCACCUCGAAAUAACAUGUUUUGAGACACAG
Molecule: long non-coding RNA, 1278 nt
Organism: Ylistrum balloti
Lineage: Eukaryota; Metazoa; Mollusca; Bivalvia; Pectinida; Pectinidae
Exons: 3
Source: RefSeq, a predicted model, not a curated record